This is a non-coding RNA of Ciona savignyi (Pacific transparent sea squirt), 74 nucleotides long. NCBI's taxonomy places the organism in Eukaryota, Metazoa, Chordata, Ascidiacea, Phlebobranchia, Cionidae. The record is from Rfam.
GGCCGGUUAGCUCAGUUGGUUAGAGCGUCGUGCUAAUAACGCGAAUGUCGCGGGUUCGAUCCCUGUACUGGCCA